RNAcentral lists this transfer RNA (85 nucleotides) under Methanomicrobia archaeon. RNAcentral's name for it is "tRNA-Leu". It matches the Rfam family "tRNA". From Rfam's summary of the family: Transfer RNA (tRNA) molecules are approximately 80 nucleotides in length. Their secondary structure includes four short double-helical elements and three loops (D, anti-codon, and T loops). Further hydrogen bonds mediate the characteristic L-shaped molecular structure. tRNAs have two regions of fundamental functional importance: the anti-codon, which is responsible for specific mRNA codon recognition, and the 3' end, to which the tRNAs corresponding amino acid is attached (by aminoacyl-tRNA synthetases). tRNAs cope with the degeneracy of the genetic code in two manners: having more than one tRNA (with a specific anti-codon) for a particular amino acid; and 'wobble' base-pairing, i.e. permitting non-standard base-pairing at the 3rd anti-codon position. Lineage: Archaea; Methanobacteriati; Methanobacteriota; Methanomicrobia. RNAcentral also lists the same sequence under 1 other name. The record is from RNAcentral.
GCGGGGGUUGCCGAGCCAGGUCAAAGGCGGGAGACUCAAGAUCUCCUCCCGCAGGGGUUCGCAGGUUCGAAUCCUGCCCCCCGCA